GAGAGAGAGAGAGAGAGAGAGAGAGAGAGAGAGAACAGUGAAGGAAGGAGGGUCUACUUCCUUCUUGAUCCGCCUUUGUAGGAGUUGUUACUGAUGGAGAGAACUGCUGAGGACCAACAUCUAAACAUCGGAACAUCAGAAGCAUGGAAACAGCUUGCCUGAGCACCGUAGGAGCCAGGCAGAAGCUUUCAGGCCCACAACCCUUCCUGAGCGGCUUCUGCCCGUGGCUCCUGCUCAACCCCCACUCCUGUGUGUUCCUUCAGGACCAUCUUGGAAGUCGUGGUGCUUUGUACUCCCUCCUAGCCUCUUCACUGAAAGUGGACCAUGGACAUCCUCUCUCCUUUGAACUUGUGGAGCGCUGCAGUUUACUGUUCACCUUGACAUUCACACGGCAGACAUGAUCUGCAUCAAGUACUUGCUGCUGUCUGCUCAGAGAGGCGGCCCGUUACUUUAGGAAAGAACUCUUAGGAUUUCGUUUGCAUCCUUUCUCCAUCCUAAUGCCCACACUCAUAUUAGUAGUUCUAAUCGUUGUUAAUUGAAUAAAACACCCAAGUAUUGACAUAAUAGGUAAAGAACAUUGUAAUCCAUCUACUUAGGGCUCAAAAUUACUAUGUAGUUUCGCCUUCCAUUCAACUUGAAUGAAAUGUCUUUUCAUAAAAUAAAAGCCAUCCAUGGUUCUAAAGAACUUAAUAAUCCA
Long non-coding RNA from Grammomys surdaster, 697 nucleotides. RefSeq lists it as uncharacterized. The record is from RefSeq and is a predicted model, not a curated record. The transcript is spliced from 2 exons. Lineage: Eukaryota; Metazoa; Chordata; Mammalia; Rodentia; Muridae.